This 751-nucleotide ribosomal RNA is filed under the name uncultured bacterium. RNAcentral describes it as "bacterial SSU rRNA". It matches the Rfam family "Bacterial small subunit ribosomal RNA", at positions 9 to 773 of the family's 1533-position model. The record is from RNAcentral.
GAGUUUGAUCCUGGCUCAAGACGAACGCUGGUGGCGCGCCUAACACAUGCAAGUCGAACGAGCGAGAGAGAGCUUGCUUUCUCGAGCGAGUGGCGAACGGGUGAGUAACGCGUGAGGAACCUGCCUCAAAGAGGGGGACAACAGUUGGAAACGACUGCUAAUACCGCAUAAGCCCACGACCCGGCAUCGGGUAGAGGGAAAAGGAGCAAUCCGCUUUGAGAUGGCCUCGCGUCCGAUUAGCCAGUUGGUGAGGUAAUGGCCCACCAAGGCGACGAUCGGUAGCCGGACUGAGAGGUUGAACGGCCACAUUGGGACUGAGACACGGCCCAGACUCCUACGGGAGGCAGCAGUGGGGAAUAUUGCACAAUGGGGGAAACCCUGAUGCAGCGACGCCGCGUGGAGGAAGAAGGUCUUCGGAUUGUAAACUCCUGUUGUUGAGGAAGAUAAUGACGGUACUCAACAAGGAAGUGACGGCUAACUACGUGCCAGCAGCCGCGGUAAAACGUAGGUCACAAGCGUUGUCCGGAAUUACUGGGUGUAAAGGGAGCGCAGGCGGGAAGGCAAGUUGGAAGUGAAAUCCAUGGGCUCAACCCAUGAACUGCUUUCAAAACUGUUUUUCUUGAGUAGUGCAGAGGUAGGCGGAAUUCCCGGUGUAGCGGUGGAAUGCGUAGAUAUCGGGAGGAACACCAGUGGCGAAGGCGGCCUACUGGGCACCAACUGACGCUGAGGCUCGAAAGUGUGGGUAGCAAAC